UUUACGGCUCUGCGCGACACUUCCCAGGAGUCGCUGCCGCACGAGCCGAGCGCCGCUCCCGUCCAUCUCGCUGCUUUUACUGCUCUGCUCGACGUUUCCCCGGUGUUUCUGGUGUGAGAGGCCGGCCAACGCUUGGCGCCCCGGGGAGUGGGCCGGCCCGGAAAGGCGUUUCCACCAUAACUACCUGGGACUGUGCGGCCCCGCUUGGUUGCCGCAUCCUGAGAGUAGGCUUGGUGCUGUCGGGCCUGUAGGUACCGGCCUCGGUGUCGGAGUCACUGGGCCGGCACUGCACCCGCAGUUCCCCGCGGUUUGGGCGCUUCCUUUGGGGUUGGCGGGAAAAUUCAGCCUCUGUGGGCUAAGGAUUCUGGGGCACAAACCCGUCAGAUCCUCAGGGCGGUGUGAGUCGUUCCUGACUGCACCCAGAGGACGCUAAAAGCGGGGGCUUCCCGCAUCCUGGGCCGGGCGCCCGGGUGGGAGCCUCGGGACUGCGAGCGGGCCAUGGCAAAUCACAAGCAGGCAGAGAGAGAGAGGAGGAAGCAGGCUCCCUGCUGAGCAGAGAGCCCGAUGCGGGACUCGAUCCCAGGACCCUGAGAUCACGACCCGAGCCGAAGGCAGUGGCUUAGCCCACUGAGCCACCCAGGCGCCCCCCGAAUUUUGGGUUUAAUUGACAUUCUCUGAUGACUAAUAAGCACCUUCUCGUGUGUUUAUUGGAAAAAAUAUAUCAUUUGUAAAGUGA
Mustela lutreola (European mink) is the source of this 736-nucleotide long non-coding RNA. RefSeq lists it as uncharacterized. Lineage: Eukaryota; Metazoa; Chordata; Mammalia; Carnivora; Mustelidae. The transcript has 2 exons. The record is from RefSeq and is a predicted model, not a curated record.